Molecule: ribosomal RNA, 253 nt
Filed under: uncultured bacterium
Lineage: Bacteria
Description: partial 16S ribosomal RNA
Rfam family: Bacterial small subunit ribosomal RNA
Source: RNAcentral
UACGUAGGGUGCAAGCGUUGUCCGGAAUUAUUGGGCGUAAAGAGCUCGUAGGCGGUCUGUUGCGUCGGCUGUGAAAACCCGGGGCUCAACCCCGGGCCUGCAGCCGAUACGGGCAGACUAGAGUUCGGCAGGGGAGACUGGAAUUCCUGGUGUAGCGGUGAAAUGCGCAGAUAUCAGGAGGAACACCGGUGGCGAAGGCGGCACUCUGGGCCGGUACUGACGCUGAGGAGCGAAAGCGUGGGGAGCGAACAGG